GAGUAUCUCAUAUAUUAAAACACAAUGUGCUAGUGUUAAUUCUUGCCUAUGGGACGUAACUUGUUGUUUGAAAUCCCUUGGCCUAAUUUAUUUUUUUGGGGAAAAUUUUGGAAUUUUAUUGAUUAAAUAAAAAACUUACAGUAUAUUAGGCCCAACACCCUUAUUAAUCCACACAUAAAAUAAAAAAACAAACCUAAGAUAAAAAGUAGCCCAACUCAAUGACCCAAGUCCGCUACAUCUACAUAUACUAUAGGGUUUCCUAAUCCAAACUAUACUUUCCAUUUCCUAACCCUUACAUCUGUAUCGAUGUUGUCGCCACAUGCUAACUCCACAUUCAUUACUCUUCUUCUUAGGGUGAUCAACAUUCUUGGUUUAAACCUACCAUUUCAUGCUUUAUCAGCUAUCAAGAGUUAUUUUUUCCUUUUCUUUCUUGUUUUUUAUUUCACUGUUUCUUUGUUUGAUCUUUCUUUUUCCCAGCUGAGCUUUUUGAUAGAUGGUGUAAGACUGCAACACUUUAUAGGAUCAAGUCUCCUGGUGAAUAUGGAAUGAAGUUCAAGCACUUUCUCUAAGAUUGAUUCAACCUAGGAUCCUUCCAUUUUGUUGGGCACUUUUUGUUGGUUGAAUUAAAUAGGCUAGAUAGUAUUUCACCUUUUUUACUGACUAUUAUGCUCUUGUAAAUAUGCUUUGUGAAAAACUGUAUGUUAAGCC
Long non-coding RNA from Capsicum annuum, 708 nucleotides. RefSeq lists it as uncharacterized. NCBI's taxonomy places the organism in Eukaryota, Viridiplantae, Streptophyta, Magnoliopsida, Solanales, Solanaceae. The transcript has 2 exons. The record is from RefSeq and is a predicted model, not a curated record.